GAACCUCAUCUUUGUUAAAUGCCUCUUCAUUUGAUUUUUUUAGUUAUCAAUUAAAUGUAGAUUUAACCUAAACCCUUUGUAAAACCUUACAGGUUCAUCUUUUUUUAUUUGUAGAAAUUGGAACAGAUUGUUUUGGAUGAGGUGGACAUGUUUGCUUUCCAACCUAUGCAUUCCCGUGAUUGUUCCCAGGUGUGGAACUCUGUUUCCUCUUUGUUUUCUAGCUUGCUACCACUUUUCUCUUUGCUGGCCUUCUGGUUCACUUGUUACUUAUUUCUUAUUGUUGCAUGAACCUUAUUCUUAUCCUGAAUCUUUGGGAUGUUGCUUAUGAAAUUCUUAUUAAUUUUGAUUUUUUGGUUUUUUUUUUUCAAGUGUAUAAUUUGGUAUUUGAGCAAAGGAUGUAGUUUAGAUAAGUGUCACUUUGAACUUUGAAGCAAAGGGCAGGGAGCUUUCAUUCUUCAUUUCUUUGUUCUCUAGCAUAUGUAUGUUCUCUAAACUUGGUCAGCAUAUCAUUGAGGCUUCAAUCUUUGCACAAACAUGUUCGUGUGCCUUUUGUUGGCAUCUUGGAAUAUAUAAGAUUUACACAGGCUUUCAUUACAUCUGCAAAUGUCCUGACUAUCCAAAUUUCCUUUUAAUGUUAGAUACAACGAUUAGCAGCAAUUUACCGUUUGCGCAGUGGUUGCCAAGGUUCGGGUAAGAAAAGGUGGGUACCAUUAUAUAUAAUUUGGCAUGCACGUCUGUUUGUGUAUACAUGUCUGAGAAGACAUCAUGAUAUGUGUGCUUAUCUUGAUGCUGAACUAGCUGCCUCUCUGUUUGUUUUACUAGCUGCCUCUCUGUUGUUUUAGAUUUUUAACAGUGACAAGAACUCAGCACACAAGCAUGCCAUCUCCAAGUGAUAAACUUCGUCUAGAAAAGGUUUCAAAUUUCCAUAUACUCGCGUCUGUCAUUUUAACUUCUGUUCUUAUAUUGCUUUGCCGACUACUUUCUGAGGUUCACAUUAUUUACUAGGAUGAUCAUUAAAUACUGCUACUAUAAACACUAGAAGUUGACUGGCAUUUUUUUUUUGAAUUUCA
RNAcentral lists this unclassified non-coding RNA (1070 nucleotides) under Hevea brasiliensis (rubber tree). Lineage: Eukaryota; Viridiplantae; Streptophyta; Magnoliopsida; Malpighiales; Euphorbiaceae. The record is from RNAcentral.